UACAGAGGGGGCAAGCGUUGUUCGGAAUUACUGGGCGUAAAGGGCGCGUAGGCGGCCACCGCAAGUCGGUUGUGAAAUCUCUGGGCUUAACCCAGAAAGGUCAACCGAUACUGCGGGGCUAGAGUGCAGAAGGGGCAACUGGAAAUCUCGGUGUAGCGGUGAAAUGCGUAGAUAUCGAGAGGAACACCUGCGGCGAAGGCGGGUUGCUGGGCUGACACUGACGCUGAAGCGCGAAAGCUAGGGGAGCGAACGGG
This 254-nucleotide ribosomal RNA is filed under the name uncultured bacterium. Its description in RNAcentral is "partial 16S ribosomal RNA". It matches the Rfam family "Bacterial small subunit ribosomal RNA", at positions 524 to 776 of the family's 1533-position model. The record is from RNAcentral.